UUCCAAUAAGUUGUGUGUAAUGUGUGUAAAGAAAAGAACUGCCCUUGUUGAUUUUUUUUGAAAGGUUUAUUGAAGUUUAUAUGUACAUUGUAAUAUGUUGUGUAGCAUUAGAACCUGUGAAAAGAGAAAAAAAGUUGUGUAAAUACUGUUUAAACAUAUGCUAGAAUACAAGAAAAAAAAAAAUAAAAUACUUACCUGUUACGUUCCUGUAAAAUCUGUAAAGGGAAAUGUUAAUACUGUUAAUAAGAGGUUUUAUUUUAUAUUAAGGAAAUUAUUUGGGGUUAUAUGUUGAACUGAAUGUGACUACAGAGUAAUGGUCAGUGAUAUUUAGAAGUAAUAGUUUCUGUACCUGCUUGCUUAAGCAGGUCAGGUUUUUUUUGAGGGCGCUGGAAACCUGGGAGAGAAGAUUCCCUCAGCAUGACUUCGGACCCUCUUCUGUGAAAGCGAUGGCGAGCCACCCAAAGGAGAACUGAGCUAAAAGACUACUCUUGAGUCCAUUUCAAAUUACCUGGUCACGUGGUAGGACAAAGAAAAGUGAUUGAGAGACUGAGCUUAUUUUAUUUUUAUUUUAUUUUAUUUUAUUUAUUGUUUCAACACAUUUGUAUUUAUUUAUUGUGGGUUUACUGAUUUACUGAAGUUGUUGGGUUAUUGAAAAAAGUAGAACUAAAGGUGUAUAUUCUGAACUAAAUUUUAUUAGUGGAUCUAAAUAAACAAAUUAACUAAACUAGCAACUAAUAGUAAAUUAAAUAAUAUUGAACUCUGUCAGUGUAAAAGUUUAAAGUAUAAAUAGCUAAA
Molecule: long non-coding RNA, 795 nt
Organism: Astyanax mexicanus (Mexican tetra)
Lineage: Eukaryota; Metazoa; Chordata; Actinopteri; Characiformes; Acestrorhamphidae
Exons: 2
Source: RefSeq, a predicted model, not a curated record